UUAGGUUUCAUGAUUCGUAACCCGGAUAGACAUAUACCGGUUUGCCAUGUGUAGUCGUUGAGAGGGAUUUUGCUUAAAUCAUUAUUGUUUGUCAUUCACAUAGACAUAUAGUGGGUUAGGUAAUAUUGAUGCUCAUAUGAAUUAUAUCAUUUUGUGGAUUUUGUCUGAUUUGGACAUGUUACAUCGAAAGAUGGUCAUGUUUCACUUUUGUGCUCCCGACUAGCAAUCCAUAGUAAUUAAUCAAGCAUAAUAAGAG
This 256-nucleotide long non-coding RNA is filed under the name Panax ginseng (ginseng). RNAcentral describes it as "long non-coding RNA (PGIN_LNC008942)". The record is from RNAcentral. Lineage: Eukaryota; Viridiplantae; Streptophyta; Magnoliopsida; Apiales; Araliaceae.